AGUGAACGCUGGCGGUAGGCCUAGCACAUGCAAGUCGAACGGCAGCACAGUAAGAGCUUGCUCUUACGGGUGGCGAGUGGCGGACGGGUGAGGAAUACAUCGGAAUCUACUUUUUCGUGGGGGAUAACGUAGGGAAACUUACGCUAAUACCGCAUACGACCUACGGGUGAAAGCAGGGGAUCUUCGGACCUUGCGCGAUUGAAUGAGCCGAUGUCGGAUUAGCUAGUUGGCGGGGUAAAGGCCCACCAAGGCGACGAUCCGUAGCUGGCCUGAGAGGAUGAUCAGCCACACUGGAACUGAGACACGGUCCAGACUCCUACGGGAGGCAGCAGUGGGGAAUAUUGGACAAUGGGCGCAAGCCUGAUCCAGCCAUACCGCGUGGGUGAAGAAGGCCUUCGGGUUGUAAAGCCCUUUUGUUGGGAAAGAACAGCUGUAGGUUAAUACCCCGCUGUUCUGACGGUACCCAAAGAAUAAGCACCGGCUAACUUCGUG
Molecule: ribosomal RNA, 492 nt
Filed under: uncultured bacterium
Lineage: Bacteria
Description: partial 16S ribosomal RNA
Rfam family: Bacterial small subunit ribosomal RNA
Source: RNAcentral